GACCCUGCUCAGGACGAACGCUGGCGGCGUGCUUAACACAUGCAAGUCGAACGAUGAAGCCUUCGGGUGGAUUAGUGGCGAACGGGUGAGUAACACGUGGGAAAUCUGCCCUGCACUCUGGGACAAGCCUUGGAAACGAGGUCUAAUACCGGAUAUUACCUGUCCUCGCAUGGGGAUGGGUGGAAAGCUCCGGCGGUGCAGGAUGAUCCCGCGGCCUAUCAGCUUGUUGGUGGGGUAAUGGCCUACCAAGGCGACGACGGGUAGCCGGCCUGAGAGGGCGACCGGCCACACUGGGACUGAGACACGGCCCAGACUCCUACGGGAGGCAGCAGUGGGGAAUAUUGCACAAUGGGCGAAAGCCUGAUGCAGCGACGCCGCGUGAGGGAUGACGGCCUUCGGGUUGUAAACCUCUUUCAGCAGGGAAGAAGCGCAAGUGACGGUACCUGCAGAAGAAGCACCGGCUAACUACGUGCCAGCAGCCGCGGUAAUACGUAGGGUGCGAGCGUUGUCCGGAAUUAUUGGGCGUAAAGAGCUCGUAGGCGGCCUGUCGCGUCGGAUGUGAAAGCCCGGGGCUUAACCCCGGGUCUGCAUUCGAUACGGGCAGGCUAGAGUGUGGUAGGGGAGAUCGGAAUUCCUGGUGUAGCGGUGAAAUGCGCAGAUAUCAGGAGGAACACCGGUGGCGAAGGCGGAUCUCUGGGCCAUUACUGACGCUGAGGAGCGAAAGCGUGGGGAGCGAACAGGAUUAGAUACCCUGGUAGUCCACGCCGUAAACGUUGGGAACUAGGUGUUGGCGACAUUCCACGUCGUCGGUGCCGCAGCUAACGCAUUAAGUCCCCGCC
RNAcentral lists this ribosomal RNA (839 nucleotides) under Kitasatospora sp. RNAcentral describes it as "bacterial SSU rRNA". It matches the Rfam family "Bacterial small subunit ribosomal RNA", at positions 15 to 873 of the family's 1533-position model. The record is from RNAcentral. Lineage: Bacteria; Bacillati; Actinomycetota; Actinomycetes; Kitasatosporales; Streptomycetaceae.